GACGAACGCUGGCGGCGUGCUUAACACAUGCAAGACGAACGGAAAGGCCCUGCUUUUGUGGGGUGCUCGAGUGGCGAACGGGUGAGUAACACGUGAGUAACCUGCCCUUGACUUUGGGAUAACUUCAGGAAACUGGGGCUAAUACCGGAUAGGAGCUCCUGCUGCAUGGUGGGGGUUGGAAAGUUUCGGCGGUUGGGGAUGGACUCGCGGCUUAUCAGCGUGUUGGUGGGGUAGUGGCUUACCAAGGCUUUGACGGGUAGCCGGCCUGAGAGGGUGACCGGCCACAUUGGGACUGAGAUACGGCCCAGACUCCUACGGGAGGCAGCAGUGGGGAAUAUUGCACAAUGGGCGGAAGCCUGAUGCAGCAACGCCGCGUGCGGGAUGACGGCCUUCGGGUUGUAAACCGCUUUCGCCUGUGACGAAGCGUGAGUGACGGUAAUGGGUAAAGAAGCACCGGCUAACUACGUG
Molecule: ribosomal RNA, 468 nt
Filed under: uncultured bacterium
Lineage: Bacteria
Description: partial 16S ribosomal RNA
Rfam family: Bacterial small subunit ribosomal RNA
Source: RNAcentral